This 87-nucleotide transfer RNA is filed under the name Melampsora pinitorqua Mpini7. RNAcentral describes it as "tRNA-Ser (TGA) (tRNA-Ser-TGA-3-1, tRNA-Ser-TGA-3-2)". It matches the Rfam family "tRNA". From Rfam's summary of the family: Transfer RNA (tRNA) molecules are approximately 80 nucleotides in length. Their secondary structure includes four short double-helical elements and three loops (D, anti-codon, and T loops). The record is from RNAcentral. Lineage: Eukaryota; Fungi; Basidiomycota; Pucciniomycetes; Pucciniales; Melampsoraceae.
GGAGACGUGGCAGAGCGGCUGAUUGCACCAGUCUUGAAAACUGGAGUACGUGAAAGCGUACCGGAGGUUCAAAUCCUCCCGUCUCCG